GACGAACCGUGCGAACGUUGUUCGGAAUAACUGGGCUUAAAGGGAGCGUAGGCGGGCUAACAAGUCUGGGGUGAAAUCCCCGCGGCUCAACCGUGGAACUGCCUUAGAUACUGUCGGCCUCGAGGGAGAUAGGGGCAUGCGGAACUAACGGUGGAGCGGUGAAAUGCGUUGAUAUCGUUAGGAACUCCGGUGGCGAAAGCGGCGUGCUGGAUCUCUUCUGACGCUGAGGCUCGAAAGCUAGGGGAGCAAACGGG
This 254-nucleotide ribosomal RNA is filed under the name uncultured bacterium. RNAcentral's name for it is "partial 16S ribosomal RNA". It matches the Rfam family "Bacterial small subunit ribosomal RNA", at positions 524 to 776 of the family's 1533-position model. The record is from RNAcentral.